This 628-nucleotide non-coding RNA is filed under the name Trypanosoma congolense IL3000. RNAcentral describes it as "Eukaryotic large subunit ribosomal RNA". It matches the Rfam family "Eukaryotic large subunit ribosomal RNA", at positions 1621 to 2235 of the family's 3401-position model. Lineage: Eukaryota; Euglenozoa; Kinetoplastea; Trypanosomatida; Trypanosomatidae. The record is from Rfam by way of RNAcentral.
AAACCUGGUGUGUUAUGGAAAAACAAAGUCCAUGGCGUGUGUGCAUGCCCACACAUGUAUACAUUGUUAUUAUGUAUACAUGUUGCGUGCACACGCCGAUGUGGGCGGAGUAGUGUAAUCGAAAAAAUCCCAACUGCAGACCGUACUCAUCACCGCAUCAGGUCCCCAAGCAUCGAAUGCUCUGGUACAUAGAGAAAGGUACACUCAGGGAAGUCGGCAAAAUAGAUGCGUAAGUUCGCAAGAAGCAUUGGCUCUGAGGGCAAAGCGGGAGGACCCCGGUGGGCCAGUGUCCCCGUGUGCACGGCCGCGUCUGCGUGCUGCUGUUUUGGCGCUUCUGCGCCUUAGCACACUCGCGGCGACCGCGUGCUCGGUGUGAAGGCUACCCACCCGAGGUGCCCGGCAUAAUUUUCUUGUCGUGUGUGCCUCACUCCCGCACGGUGUGUUUUUGUUUCUUCUCCUUUUCCUUUGCGAUAAGGGCUGGAACGCCACCACAAAUUGCCAACUCAGAACUGCUUACGGCGGGGAAUCCAACUGUAUAAUUAAAACAUAGGUUUGUGAUGCAUCCAGGUGGUGUAUGUCGCAAACUGAUUUCUGCCCAGUGCUCUGAAUGUCAACGUGACGAGAUCAC